Molecule: long non-coding RNA, 404 nt
Organism: Pezoporus flaviventris
Lineage: Eukaryota; Metazoa; Chordata; Aves; Psittaciformes; Psittacidae
Exons: 3
Source: RefSeq, a predicted model, not a curated record
UCCUCUUUGGCUGCCCCUUGCUCCCUGUGCUCUCGGCAUGAUGCUCUGCACUGAAAGGCUUGAAAACAUCCCGCCCUGGUGCAAUCACUGCCCUCUCCCUUGCCCUGCAUCUCAUGCAGCCUGGUCCCGAGCCCUGAUGCUCACCCAAUGCGCCGAGCUGAACCUCCUCACGACGACGGCGGGCCCGAAGGAGCGCGCUGGGUUCAUGGAGCAGCCGGUGAAGUAGAUCUGUCGGUGUGGAAAGGAGACCAAGGAGCCUGGGAUGGAUGCCAUCCUUCCCCACAUCACCAUGGACAAGGAGCCCUGCUAUGUCCCGUUGGCUCUCCCAAUGCAGCUCCCUCUGGGACCGACCGCAGGGGGGUUAUUUUGGGGGAGCUCUGUCCCAGCAGGACCCUCUGCCUGGC